This 187-nucleotide ribosomal RNA is filed under the name uncultured bacterium. RNAcentral's name for it is "partial 16S ribosomal RNA". It matches the Rfam family "Bacterial small subunit ribosomal RNA", at positions 1314 to 1500 of the family's 1533-position model. The record is from RNAcentral.
GCCUGCGUGAAGUUGGAAUCGCUAGUAAUCGCGGAUCAGCAUGCCGCGGUGAAUACGUUCCCGGGCCUUGUACACACCGCCCGUCACACCAUGAGAGUCGGGAACACCCGAAGUCCGUAGCCUAACCGCAAGGGGGGCGCGGCCGAAGGUGGGUUCGAUAAUUGGGGUGAAGUCGUAACAAGGUACC